GACGAACGCUGGCGGCGUGCUUAACACAUGCAAGUCGAACGGAAAGGCCCUGCUUUUGUGGGGUGCUCGAGUGGCGAACGUGUGAGUAACACGAGAGUAACCUGCCCUUGACUUUGGGAUAACUUCAGGAAACUGGGGCUAAUACCGGAUAGGAUCUCCUGCUGCAUGGUGGGGGUUGGAAAGUUUCGGCGGUUGGGGAUGGACUCGCGGCUUAUCAGCUUGUUGGUGGGGUAGUGGCUUACCAAGGCUUUGACGGGUAGCCGGCCUGAGAGGGUGACCGGCCACAUUGGGACUGAGAUACGGCCCAGACUCCUACGGGAGGCAGCAGUGGGGAAUAUUGCACAAUGGGCGGAAGCCUGAUGCAGCAACGCCGCGUGCGGGAUGACGGCCUUCGGGUUGUAAACCGCUUUCGCCUGUGACGAAGCGUGAGUGACGGUAAUGGGUAAAGAAGCACCGGCUAACUACGUG
This 468-nucleotide ribosomal RNA is filed under the name uncultured bacterium. Its description in RNAcentral is "partial 16S ribosomal RNA". It matches the Rfam family "Bacterial small subunit ribosomal RNA", at positions 28 to 507 of the family's 1533-position model. The record is from RNAcentral.